RNAcentral lists this transfer RNA (74 nucleotides) under Perkinsus olseni. Its description in RNAcentral is "tRNA-Val". It matches the Rfam family "tRNA". From Rfam's summary of the family: Transfer RNA (tRNA) molecules are approximately 80 nucleotides in length. Their secondary structure includes four short double-helical elements and three loops (D, anti-codon, and T loops). The record is from RNAcentral. Lineage: Eukaryota; Perkinsozoa; Perkinsida; Perkinsidae.
GCUGGAACGGUCUAGUUGGUUAUGACGACUGCCUCACACGCAGUAGGUCCCGAGUUCGACACUCGGUUCCAGUA